Molecule: ribosomal RNA, 467 nt
Filed under: uncultured bacterium
Lineage: Bacteria
Description: partial 16S ribosomal RNA
Rfam family: Bacterial small subunit ribosomal RNA
Source: RNAcentral
GACGAACGCUGGCGGCGUGCUUAACACAUGCAAGUCGAACGGAAAGGCCUCUUUCGGGGGGUACUCGAGUGGCGAACGGGUGAGUAACACGUGAGUAACCUGCCCUUGACUUUGGGAUAACUUCAGGAAACUGGGGCUAAUACCGGAUAGGAGCUCCUGCUGCAUGGUGGGGGUUGGAAAGUUUCGGCGGUUGGGGAUGGACUCGCGGCGUAUCAGCUUGUUGGUGGGGUGGUGGCUUACCAAGGCUUUGACGGGUAGCCGGCCUGAGAGGGUGAGCGGCCACAUUGGGACUGAGGUACGGCCCAGGCUCCUACGGGAGGCAGCAGUGGGGAAUAUUGCACAAUGGGUGGAAGCCUGAUGCAGCAACGCCGUGUGCGGGAUGACGGCCUUCGGGUUGUAAACCGCUUUCGCUCAUGACGAAGCUUUGUGUGACGGUAGUGGGUAAAGAAGCACCGGCUAACUACGUG